UACGGGGGGGGCAAGCGUUGUUCGGAAUUACUGGGCGUAAAGGGCUCGUAGGCGGCCAACUAAGUCAGACGUGAAAUCCCUCGGCUUAACCGGGGAACUGCGUCUGAUACUGGAUGGCUUGAAUUCGGGAGAGGGAUGCAGAAUUCCAGGUGUAGCGGUGAAAUGCGUAGAUAUCAGGAGGAACACCGGUGGCGAAGGCGGGUCUCUGGGCAACAACUGACGCUGAGGAGCGAAAGCGUGGGGAGCGAACAGG
This 253-nucleotide ribosomal RNA is filed under the name uncultured bacterium. RNAcentral's name for it is "partial 16S ribosomal RNA". It matches the Rfam family "Bacterial small subunit ribosomal RNA", at positions 524 to 776 of the family's 1533-position model. The record is from RNAcentral.